Molecule: non-coding RNA, 30 nt
Filed under: Mus musculus (house mouse)
Lineage: Eukaryota; Metazoa; Chordata; Mammalia; Rodentia; Muridae
Source: RNAcentral
UAAGGAAAAUGGAAUUCGUAGCAGGUUAGC